GAGUUUGAUCGUGGCUCAGGACGAACGCUGGCGGCGUGCUUAACACAUGCAAGUCGAACGGUAAGGCUCCAGCUUGCUGGGGUACACGAGUGGCGAACGGGUGAGUAACACGUGGGUGACCUGCCCUGCACUUCGGGAUAAGCCUGGGAAACUGGGUCUAAUACCGGAUAGGACCGCACCGUGAGGGUGUGGUGGAAAGUUUUUUC
Molecule: ribosomal RNA, 206 nt
Filed under: uncultured microorganism
Description: partial 16S ribosomal RNA
Rfam family: Bacterial small subunit ribosomal RNA
Source: RNAcentral